CCUACGGGAGGCAGCAGUAGGGAAUCUUCCACAAUGGGCGAGAGCCUGAUCGAGCAACGCCGCGUGAGUGAAGAAUGUCUUCGGAUCGUAAAACCCUGUUUUUAGAGAAGAAAAGUCGUGAGAGUAACUGUUCACGUUUCGACGUUAUCUAACCAGAAAGCCACGGCUAACUACGUGCCACCAGCCGCGGUAAUACGUAGGUGGCAAGCGUUAUCCGGAUUUAUUGGGCGUAAAGGUAACGCAGGCGGUCUGUUAAGUCUGAUGUGAAACGCUUCGGCUUAACCGGAGUAGUGCAUUGGAUACUGGCAGACUUGAGUGCAGAAGAGGAGAGUGGAACUCGAUGUGUAGCGGUGAAAUGCGUAGAUAUAUGGAAGAACACCAGUGGCGAAGGCGGCUCUCUGGUCUGUAACUGACGCUGAUGUUCGAAAGUGUGGGUAGCAAACAGGAUUAGAUACCCCAGUAGUC
This 465-nucleotide ribosomal RNA is filed under the name uncultured bacterium. RNAcentral's name for it is "partial 16S ribosomal RNA". It matches the Rfam family "Bacterial small subunit ribosomal RNA", at positions 338 to 795 of the family's 1533-position model. The record is from RNAcentral.